CCUACGGGAGGCUGCAGUGGGGGAUAUUGCACAAUGGGGGAAACCCUGAUGCAGCGACGCCGCGUGUGGGAAGACGGUCUUCUGGAUUGUAAACCACUGUCCCCAGGGACGAAAAUGACGGUACCUGGGGAGGAAGCUCCGGCUAACUACGUGCCAGUAGCCGCGGUAAUACGUAGGGAGCAAGCGUUGUCCGGAAUUACUGGGUGUAAAGGGAGCGUAGGCGGGGAUGCAAGUUGGGUGUCAAAACUACCGGCUCAACCGAUAGUCGCACUCAAAACUGCAACUCUUGAGUGAAGUAGAGGCAGGCGGAAUGCCUAGUGUAGCGGUGAAAUGCGUAGAUAUUAGGAGGAACACCAGUUGCGAAGGCGGCCUGCUGGGCUUUUACUGACGCUGAGGCUCGAAAGUGUGGGGAGCAAACAGGAUUAGAUACCCUAGUAGUC
Molecule: ribosomal RNA, 440 nt
Filed under: uncultured bacterium
Lineage: Bacteria
Description: partial 16S ribosomal RNA
Rfam family: Bacterial small subunit ribosomal RNA
Source: RNAcentral